Long non-coding RNA from Corapipo altera (White-ruffed manakin), 180 nucleotides. RefSeq lists it as uncharacterized. The record is from RefSeq and is a predicted model, not a curated record. The transcript has 3 exons. NCBI's taxonomy places the organism in Eukaryota, Metazoa, Chordata, Aves, Passeriformes, Pipridae.
GGAGGGGAAAAAAACAGCACCCUGGGCUCUCACAGUGGGAAAAUGCUUAUGCUACUGCAUGGCAGAUCAUGUGUUAUCAGGGAAGGAUUAUUUUAUCCAAGAACAAGAGAUGGGAUGGGAAAAAAGCAGCACCCUGGAGCUAAAAUAACUUUGGAAAGGCAAAAGUUGUCCCACAUUAAA